GACGAACGCUGGCGGCGUGCUUAACACAUGCAAGUCGAACGGAAAGGCCCUGCUUUUGUGGGGUGCUCGAGUGGCGAACGGGUGAGUAACACGUGAGUAACCUGCCCUUGACUUUGGGAUAACUUCAGGAAACUGGGGCUAAUACCGGAUAGGAGCUCCUGCUGCAUGGUGGGGGUUGGAAAGUUUCGACGGUUGGGGAUGGACUCGCGGCUUAUCAGCUUGUUGGUGGGGUAGUGGCUUACCAAGGCUUUGACGGGUAGCCGGCCUGAGAGGGUGACCGGCCACAUUGGGACUGAGAUACGGCCCAGACUCCUACGGGGGGCAGCAGUGGGGAAUAUUGCACAAUGGGCGGAAGCCUGAUGCAGCAACGCCGCGUGCGGGAUGACGGCCUUCGGGUUGUAAACCGCUUUCGCCUGUGACGAAGCGUGAGUGACGGUAAUGGGUAAAGAAGCACCGGCUAACUACGUG
This 468-nucleotide ribosomal RNA is filed under the name uncultured bacterium. RNAcentral's name for it is "partial 16S ribosomal RNA". It matches the Rfam family "Bacterial small subunit ribosomal RNA", at positions 28 to 507 of the family's 1533-position model. The record is from RNAcentral.